CGUUGAUUACGUCCCUGCCCUUUGUACACACCGCCCGUCGCUACUACCGAUUGAAUGGCUUAGUGAGGUCUCCGGAUUGGCUUUGGGGAGUCGGCAACGGCACCCUGUUGCUGAGAAGUUGGUCAAACUUGGUCAUUUAGAGGAAGUAAAAGUCGUAACAAGG
This 163-nucleotide ribosomal RNA is filed under the name Alloclavaria purpurea. RNAcentral describes it as "partial small subunit ribosomal RNA". It matches the Rfam family "Eukaryotic small subunit ribosomal RNA", at positions 1639 to 1799 of the family's 1831-position model. Lineage: Eukaryota; Fungi; Basidiomycota; Agaricomycetes; Hymenochaetales; Rickenellaceae. The record is from RNAcentral.